AAUUCACCCAGUGAGAGUCAGAUGCAACCCAAUGUUAUACCAAUACAAUAAAAAAACAGCAGGAUCUUAUUAAAGGGGAAAAGGCAAAAUACCACAUUUAUUGUGAAUACAGAAAGAAUCAUAUUAAUCAGUAAUAGCUAUAACAUUCCAUUCAAUCUC
Long non-coding RNA from Dermochelys coriacea (leatherback sea turtle), 159 nucleotides. RefSeq lists it as uncharacterized. NCBI's taxonomy places the organism in Eukaryota, Metazoa, Chordata, Testudines, Dermochelyidae. The record is from RefSeq and is a predicted model, not a curated record. The transcript has 4 exons.